This 587-nucleotide long non-coding RNA is filed under the name Gallus gallus (chicken). RNAcentral describes it as "long non-coding RNA NONGGAT009030". Lineage: Eukaryota; Metazoa; Chordata; Aves; Galliformes; Phasianidae. The record is from RNAcentral.
GCCGGAGCCUGUGGCAGGUAUCAACAAUGCUCCCGUGGAAAGGAAAGCUGGAACUCAGCAUCUCAAAGUUGCACAAGAGGCAGUUUCCAGUUACAUACAGACGUCAUCAGCACCUUUGCAGAACAGUCAGCAAAUGAUACUAUCAGCAAUAUUUAAUACAGCCACAGUCUUUAGCAGCAAGUUUUUGUAUAUAUGAAAACUGAUGCAACUGUAGAUGCAAUUCUCUGUAGCACAAACUGGAUGGGUAAGGAGGGGUUCCUGGUGGCUCACCCUACAAAUUGUUCCCAAAUGCUCGUUGAAUUGCAAACAAGUGGGAAAAAAGUUACAGUGAACCUACUGCCUUGCAGUUUGUGAAGUGAGGCCCUGGUGGUCACCAUUUUGUUAAAGACCUUAACAAAAUGAAGCCUCUCCAUGAAAAUGUGAUGGGCAGAUUCAGAGGGCUGGCAGGAGUGGGAGAUGCUGGAGGAGCCAUCCCAGACAAGAGCUGCUCUUUGCAGGCAGGAAGGAGAGACUGGGGAAGCUCAAAGGAAGCCAUCUUGAUAGAGAGAGAUGAGUAAUAACGUAAACUGGAGCAACUGGAGGGUGCC